GCUUUUCAAUGCCUCUAGGGUUUCUCCUCUUCAACCCCAAAACACUAUAAAUAUAUCUUCCCCCAUUCCUUCUGCACUCCAUCUUUUACCUCCCACUUUCUACUUUUAAUUUUUUCUUAUAUUCAUGUUUUGUUUUUCAAUUUCAACCAAUUUUGUUUUCGUAGCAGUGAUGAAUCCAAAAUUUGUGACCGGAGGCGCUUGUCGUCAGUGACGGUGCACAACCCUCUAAGAAGUUCUGAGCUCUCCUCCCAUUUUUCUAUUCUUGACUUAUAUAUUUGUUUAUUGUUUUAAAUCUUCUUCUCAAAUUUACGGUGAUUUUAGCGAGAUGACGAUGAAAUUCAUGUCUGUCAAUCCACUGAUUUUUGUGAUGUUAGAAGUGAAUCCCGACAGGUUCUGAUCGCUUCUAAAAAUUUGUUUAGAUUUCAAAUUCUAUUAUUGUAAUUGUAAUUUAUAAUUUUUUUUUUGUUAUUUGCGGGGCAGAGGAUGAAUUUAUUGUCAAAUGGGUAAUUUGCGACUGAUACUUCGUUGUGAUGCUAAACUCACCUUGGAGAACUGAUGCCCAUCAGAAAUUUUGAAAUUAUUUUAAAUUACUUUUUUUCAUUUAUAUGUAUAUGGAUUAUUGCUUCCUUUUUUACGUUAUGAAGAUAUUUUUCACUUUUUACAUUAUCUUUAAAUUGUAAUUUUAGAACUUAGUGCGAAACAACUUGCAUGCUCUGAUCUUUAUUAGAGAGAUUUUAUCUCUAAUAAAUAAAAAGUUGUUUCGAAUAAAAUUUCAAGAACAAAUGUGAAGAUUUCGUGCCCCUCAAAAACUAAUUACAAUUAAUUCUAGUGUUGUGGUAAAUAUCCUUUGUUGGUGCGGUGCGGUAUGUGAAUUUGUAAUAUUACGCCUGUUUAGUUAUGAACUUAAUAGUUAACAAAAUAUUACGCCUGUUUAGUUAUGAACUUAAUAGUUAACAAACGCUAGGCAUUGAUUCAUCAGUCAUAGGAAAUGAGGCAGCAAGCAGAGUAUUAGAGGUGGCCGUUGCUAAUCUCCAAGAAUUUUGCAACUGUGUGAUAUCUUAUCUAAUUGGGUCAACAUUAGCAUCUAGAUAUAUGAUUAUAGGCUUGAACUGGAAUACAAAAAGCAUUUAUUUAUGCUUGUAAUACAAAAUAAAACCAGUUUUUUGAAAGUUUGAUGCAAAGCAAUAGUAGUUGGUAUACUGGAAGGUUCUACCACUAUAUUUAUGAAUAUGUGUAUUUUCUGCUUUGUAUUGUUGCAAGAAUUAUGAGUAAAAUCAUUAUCUGUAUGCUAGAAUUUCUUUUGGAUUGCCUGGAUUGUGAACAAGAUUCUUUUGAAGAGACAUUUUCUUUUAACAAGUCAUAGUAUAUUCUUCAGAUUUUCUGCAUGGUGUAUUGGAAACUAUUCGUAUAAGCUUUGGCAGCUUAUUUUGAACAGUGACCAUUUGCUAUGGGUUUAGAGUUUAAUUUUUUUUCAAAGCGUUUUAAUUUUUUUUAAAUUUUUUUUCCAAUUAACAUUUAUGCAGCUUUACAGAUUAAAAAUCUAUCUAGGGUUUGAAACAACUCUCCCUCUGUCCCUCUCAUUAUACCCUCAUCUUCUUCGUUGCUUCCAGCUGCCGCCUAAUAUUUGAUUUUUUUCAUUGUCAAAAUCAUAUGAUGAGCAAAAUAACUGCAACAAUAUGAUCGGAAUGUUUCCCAUGAUUCCUAGUAUUUAAGUCUCUGAUGAUUUCUCUUACCCUAAUUCACUUGGAUAUAUUUCCCUAUUUUUCUACUUUGUUCUUUUUCUUCCCUUUUUUCGAAAUUGUGGAGGAGAUAUGAUGAAUAUAUUAUUUGGUCCGUGUUUCUGAACUAACCCUGACUGAUACCCUUUCCAAACCUCUGAUCUCCUCUUUUAUCUUAUCGUUACAGAUCUUAUUGUUACAUAAAAUUUUUAUUUUUAUUUUUACAAAAUUGUUGAUUUUUUCACUGGCUCUGUGAUUAUCUGCCUAAUUAUUAGGCGAUAUACGCUAUUCUGAUAAUUAUCAUGUGGAUAAUCUUUUUCUAUUAUGAGAGCUGCUCCUUUUUUACAUGGUUUUCUUAUUUUUGUAUUUUUCAAUUCUUUCAUUUUGCUGUGAUGAUUUAUGAAAUAAAUUCACAUGUCAGACUUCAGAGAUUAUUUAUAAUCUAUGAGAAGAGUAUUUCAUGAUUCCUGAGCAGAAUUUAGUAAUUAGCCAGUCAAGUCAAGAGUAAAUUUGAUAAUGCCACUUGCAUCUGCUAUCCAAGUUAAAAAUUAGGAGGAAGAGAGUUCGGCUUGAACCUGCUGCCAUCCCCACAAACUAGAUUUGAUCUCUGCCACUAACUUCUCUUUAACCCACCCAUGGCUAAACUUGAUUUCAUUCCUACCUUUCCGAAUGCACCAAGUAGCACAAGUCCACACGCCAGAGAGGAAGUUAACCUCCUUCUUACCCCCAAGAUUUGUGAAGGCAAAAAGGUGGUCUUUUGCAUUGGCUGGGAUUGCUUGUUGAUCCAAAGAAGUAACUUGUACCAGAUUUUGGUGGCCUUUUGACAAGAGAAGUAAUUGAUGUGUUUGAUUUUCAAUCUGCAAAGGGUGCAGUUUCUCUCUGUGAUCGGGAUUGGAACCUGUCUCUUCAAAAGGUUUUCCCACGUAGCAAAUCUUCCAUUCAUGAUUCUCCAAGCGGUAGUUUUUGACUUAUGCGUUGCUGGGGCUUUCCAAAUAAUGGAGUACUCCCAAUUGUUUGCUUUGAUAGACACUUGUAGCACUGUUAAUGGCUUUGUACGCUGCUUUGACUGUGAACUUUCCAUCCGGCAUUGAUUUCCAUCUCCAUCCGUCCGGUUUCCCUUCCACUAAAUUGUGAUUAUUGAUAAGGGACAUGAGGCUAGCCACCUGAUCCUUCGCCCCUCCUCCUUCAAACAACGAUGGUGCCAGAAAGAAAAAUAAUCUCCCUUGCCAAUCUGAGCUUGGAUAUUAUCUUUAACCAUGUCCCAUUCUCCCCUCGACUCAACCCUAACACCUUAUUCCACCAGCUCGGUUCCUGACCCCUUCCCCCUUUUAAACAAAAACCAUCAUCGCCCCAAACAAUGUCUCUUUUAACAGCCCAAACCAUGGGCCCAGAAGCUUUCUUUCUCUGUAAGAUAACGCCAUAUCCACUUUGCCAUUAACGCCUUAUUAAACUUUUGUAGAUCUUUGAAGCCGAGUCCCCCGGCACUCUGAUCGGCACACAACUUUCCCACUUUAGCCAAUGGAUUUUUCUUGCCUCUGCCCCUCUUCCCCAAAGAAAAUUACACAUCACCUUUCGAACUUUGGAAAGAGUACUCUUGGGUAAGAAGAUGGAGUAGGAAAGUUGGCAGAUUGGAAUUGAAGUAAGGACUGAUCGAAUUAACGUGACCCUCCCGACAAAAGACAUUUUCUUAUUUUUCCACGAAUCUAUUUUUCUUGUAAUUUUUUCCACAAUGUAAUUCCAGUCUGCCACCCUGGACAAGCGUGUGCCGUUUUUAAUCCCAAUUAUUUGGUAGUUCGCUGGCUUGGCAAUUAAGAAGCAACGCCCAAUUAUCAA
Long non-coding RNA from Salvia miltiorrhiza (redroot sage), 3551 nucleotides. RefSeq lists it as uncharacterized. NCBI's taxonomy places the organism in Eukaryota, Viridiplantae, Streptophyta, Magnoliopsida, Lamiales, Lamiaceae. The record is from RefSeq and is a predicted model, not a curated record. The transcript has 2 exons.